This 195-nucleotide ribosomal RNA is filed under the name uncultured bacterium. RNAcentral describes it as "partial 16S ribosomal RNA". It matches the Rfam family "Bacterial small subunit ribosomal RNA", at positions 335 to 525 of the family's 1533-position model. The record is from RNAcentral.
ACUCCUACGGGAGGCAGCAGUGGGGAAUUUUGGACAAUGGGCGCAAGCCUGAUCCAGCAAUGCCGCGUGAGUGAAGAAGGCCUUCGGGUUGUAAAGCUCUUCAGCCGAGAAGAAAAGGCUGUGACUAAUACAUAGCAGUCAUGACGGUAUCAACAGAGAGCACCGGCUAACUACGUGCCAGCAGCCGCGGUAAUU